RNAcentral lists this ribosomal RNA (465 nucleotides) under uncultured bacterium. RNAcentral's name for it is "partial 16S ribosomal RNA". It matches the Rfam family "Bacterial small subunit ribosomal RNA", at positions 28 to 507 of the family's 1533-position model. The record is from RNAcentral.
GACGGACGCUGGCGGCGUGCUUAACACAUGCAAGUCGAACGGAAAGGCCCCAGCUUGCUGGGGUACUCGAGUGGCGAACGGGUGAGUAACACGUGGGUGAUCUGCCCUGCACUCUGGGAUAAGCCUGGGAAACUGGGUCUAAUACCGGAUAGGACCGUGCUUUAGUGUGUGCGGUGGAAAGUUUUUCGGUGCAGGAUGAGCCCGCGGCCUAUCAGCUUGUUGGUGGGGUAAUGGCCUACCAAGGCGGCGACGGGUAGCCGGCCUGAGAGGGUGUACGGCCACAUUGGGACUGAGACACGGCCCAGACUCCUACGGGAGGCAGCAGUGGGGAAUAUUGCACAAUGGGCGGAAGCCUGAUGCAGCGACGCCGCGUGGGGGAUGACGGCCUUCGGGUUGUAAACCCCUUUCGGCAGGGACGAAGCUUUUGUGACGGUACCUGCAUAAGAAGCACCGGCUAACUACGUG